Empidonax traillii (willow flycatcher) is the source of this 630-nucleotide long non-coding RNA. RefSeq lists it as uncharacterized. Lineage: Eukaryota; Metazoa; Chordata; Aves; Passeriformes; Tyrannidae. The record is from RefSeq and is a predicted model, not a curated record. The transcript has 2 exons.
GUACCAUUCCUAAACCACAACACCUGAGGAGAGCGUGAAGCUUUGAGAUGGCACAUUGGGAAGCCUAAGCCAACUGUUCCUGCUGCAUGCAUGCCUGAAUUGAUUACACUGUUCUGUGGAGCUCAGAGACUCUCCCUCCUGUUGGCCUGUCCCUGUGUGAAACAGGAAUUCACAGUACUAGAAUGAGUCAGAAUUGAAAGCCAGAGCCGUUCCCUCGAGCUUGGACAUCAAUUUGGAAACACCUAGAUCCCUCUCAGUCCAAACGGUUUGUGAGGGCAAGUGUUCCAGCUAAGAUCUUGCAGUUGGACGCUUUGCCUUUGCUUGGAUCACUGGCAGCUCUCAUGUCAGGCUCAGAUCUUCAGGGCUAUUUUCAUGAGAUGAAAGAAAUCUUAAUUAAGUGUUCAUAUCUUUGUCAGCCAGACUCAGAAUAAAAAUUGAUGCGAUUCCCUUGAGCUUCACUGCUUGUUAUACCCUGCAGACAACAAAGAUACGGGAAAGAAUAAUGUGAAUCUCAUUUAACAUCACAAAGAAGCUUUCCACAGCAGGAUAGACUGAUGUGGAACUAUUGAAUGGGCAUAAAAAAAACCUCUUUACUUUCUCUUCCUUUCAAAAAAAAAUAAAGGAAAAAAG